Molecule: unclassified non-coding RNA, 263 nt
Filed under: Hevea brasiliensis (rubber tree)
Lineage: Eukaryota; Viridiplantae; Streptophyta; Magnoliopsida; Malpighiales; Euphorbiaceae
Source: RNAcentral
GGAUCUCAAUCCAUUCAGGCUGUGUUCUGGACUCAAAGUUAUUGGCUAUUUCAUGAUCCUGAUCGUUUUUGCUAUCGUCGUACUUUCGUAUUAUGCCGUCGUCGUUCUUAUCUGGGCUCCGCGUCUCCUUGAUGGUGGCUUCACUUCCUUCUUAUCUUUCACAAUUAUUAUCAUCUUUCAUAUCCUUCUUGUAAUGCUAAUGUGGAGCUAUAUUAGGGUAGUAGUUCAGGAUCCUGGUUCUGUCCCUGAAAACUGGAAACUAG